AGUGAACGCUGGCGGUAGGCCUAACACAUGCAAGUCGAACGGCAGCACAGGAGAGCUUGCUCUCUGGGUGGCGAGUGGCGGACGGGUGAGGAAUACAUCGGAAUCUACUUUUUCGUGGGGGAUAACGGAGGGAAACUUACGCUAAUACCGCAUACGACCUACGGGUGAAAGCAGGGGACCUUCGGGCCCUGCGCGAGUGAAUGAGCCGAUGUGGGAUUAGCUAGUUGGCGGGGUAAAGGCCCACCAAGGAGACGAUCCGUAGCUGGUCUGAGAGGAUGAUCAGCCACACUGGAACUGAGACACGGUCCAGACUCCUACGGGAGGCAGCAGUGGGGAAUAUUGGACAAUGGUCGCAAGCCUGAUCCAGCCAUACCGCGUGGGUGAAGAAGGCCUUCGGGUUGUAAAGCCCUUUUGUUGGGAAAGAAAUCCAGCUGGCUAAUACCCGGUUGGGAUGACGGUACCCAAAGAAUAAGCACCGGCUAACUUCGUGCCAGCAGCCGCGGUAA
Molecule: ribosomal RNA, 506 nt
Filed under: uncultured bacterium
Lineage: Bacteria
Description: partial 16S ribosomal RNA
Rfam family: Bacterial small subunit ribosomal RNA
Source: RNAcentral